AUCUGGAUAGUUUAAUAAAAAAUCUUGAUUUGUGGUGUCAAGGAUGUAAAAUUUUUACUUCAGAUC
This 66-nucleotide transfer RNA is filed under the name Trithemis aurora (dawn dropwing). Its description in RNAcentral is "tRNA-His". The record is from RNAcentral. Lineage: Eukaryota; Metazoa; Arthropoda; Insecta; Odonata; Libellulidae.